GACAGAGGUCCCGAGCGUUAGGCGGAAUCACUGGGCUUAAAGCGUGUGUAGGCGGAUCGUUAAGUGCCUUGUGAAAUCCCAUGGCUUAACCAUGGAACUGCUUGGCAUACUGGCGAUCUUGAGCCACUUAGGGGCAACCGGAACAAAUGGUGGAGCGGUGAAAUGCGUAGAUAUUGGGUGGAACACCGGUGGCGAAAGCGGCUCACUGGCUCGGUUCUGACGCUGAGGCGCGAAAGCGUGGGGAGCAAACAGG
Molecule: ribosomal RNA, 253 nt
Filed under: uncultured bacterium
Lineage: Bacteria
Description: partial 16S ribosomal RNA
Rfam family: Bacterial small subunit ribosomal RNA
Source: RNAcentral